RNAcentral lists this ribosomal RNA (323 nucleotides) under uncultured eukaryote. RNAcentral describes it as "SSU rRNA". It matches the Rfam family "Eukaryotic small subunit ribosomal RNA", at positions 614 to 957 of the family's 1831-position model. The record is from RNAcentral.
UGCAGUUAAAAGCUCGUAGUUGACUUCUGGCCGCGUACAGGUUUGGCUUCAGUCGACUUGUUAUGCAGUCAUCCGUCUGCAAACUUAGUCGGCCUUUACUGGUUCGACUAAGAAAGCAGACAAUUUACCUUGAAAAAAUUAGAGUGUUUCAGGCAGGUAACCGCCGGAAUACAUUAGCAUGGAAUAAUGGAAUAGGACUUAGCUCCUUUGUUGGUUUUAGGAACUUAGUAAUGAUUAAUAGGAACAGUUGGGGGCAUUAGUUUUUAAUUGUCAGAGGUGAAAUUCUUGGAUUUAUUAAAGACUAACUAAUGCGAAAGCUUUUA